RNAcentral lists this ribosomal RNA (345 nucleotides) under Lactobacillus johnsonii. RNAcentral describes it as "bacterial SSU rRNA". It matches the Rfam family "Bacterial small subunit ribosomal RNA", at positions 350 to 687 of the family's 1533-position model. Lineage: Bacteria; Bacillati; Bacillota; Bacilli; Lactobacillales; Lactobacillaceae. The record is from RNAcentral.
AGCAGUAGGGAAUCUUCCACAAUGGACGAAAGUCUGAUGGAGCAACGCCGCGUGAGUGAAGAAGGGUUUCGGCUCGUAAAGCUCUGUUGGUAGUGAAGAAAGAUAGAGGUAGUAACUGGCCUUUAUUUGACGGUAAUUACUUAGAAAGUCACGGCUAACUACGUGCCAGCAGCCGCGGUAAUACGUAGGUGGCAAGCGUUGUCCGGAUUUAUUGGGCGUAAAGCGAGUGCAGGCGGUUCAAUAAGUCUGAUGUGAAAGCCUUCGGCUCAACCGGAGAAUUGCAUCAGAAACUGUUGAACUUGAGUGCAGAAGAGGAGAGUGGAACUCCAUGUGUAGCGGUGAAAU